GGGGCAACCUGGCGGCGWAGUGGCGAACGGGUGAGUAAUAUAUCGGAACGUACCCUGGAGUGGGGGAUAACGUAGCGAAAGUUACGCUAAUACCGCAUACGAUCUAAGGAUGAAAGUGGGGGAUUCGCAAGAACCUCAUGCUCCUGGAGCGGCCGAUAUCUGAUUAGCUAGUUGGUAGGGUAAGAGCCUACCGAGGCAUCGAUCAGUCGCUGCUCUGAGAGGACGACCAGCCACACUGGAACUGAGACACGCUCCACACUCCUACGGGAGGCAGCAGUGGGGAAUUUUGGACUGUGCGCGCGAGCCUGAUCCAGCUAUGCCGCGUGAGUGAAGAAGGCCUUCGGGUUGUAGAGCUCUUUUGUCAGGGAAGAAACGGUUUUUUCUAAUACAGAGAUCUUAUGACGGUACCUGAAGAAUAAGC
RNAcentral lists this ribosomal RNA (421 nucleotides) under Duganella sp. RNAcentral describes it as "bacterial SSU rRNA". Lineage: Bacteria; Pseudomonadati; Pseudomonadota; Betaproteobacteria; Burkholderiales; Oxalobacteraceae. The record is from RNAcentral.